CCUACGGGCGGCAGCAGUGAGGAAUAUUGGUCAAUGGCCGGAAGGCUGAACCAGCCAUGCCGCGUGAAGGUCAGUGCCCUAUGGGCGUUAAACUUCUUUUGUGCGGGAGCAAUAAUGGUCACGUGUGGCCAGACGAGAGUACCGUACGAAUAAGCAUCGGCUAACUCCGUGCCAGCAGCCGCGGUAAUACGGGGGAUGCAAGCGUUAUCCGGAUUUAUUGGGUUUAAAGGGUGCGUAGGCUGUGAGGUAAGUCAGCGGGGAAAUGCCCCCGCUCAACGGGGUGAAGGGCCAUUGAUACUGCCUUGCUGGAAUGCGGAUGCCGUGGGAGGAAUGUGUGGUGUAGCGGUGAAAUGCAUAGAUAUCACACAGAACACCGAUUGCGAAGGCAUCUCACGAAUCCGCGAUUGACGCUGAUGCACGAAAGCGUGGGUAUCAAACAGGAUUAGAUACCCCAGUAGUC
RNAcentral lists this ribosomal RNA (460 nucleotides) under uncultured bacterium. RNAcentral describes it as "partial 16S ribosomal RNA". It matches the Rfam family "Bacterial small subunit ribosomal RNA", at positions 338 to 795 of the family's 1533-position model. The record is from RNAcentral.